UCCCCGUUGCCGGGGCAGUCUAUUCAGAAAAAUCCAACUGAAUACAAGGGUUGCGCUCGUUGAUGGACUUAACCAAACAUCUCACGACACGAGCUGACGACGGCCAUGCAACACCUGUCACCGAGUUCCUUACGGCACAGUUUCCUUUCGGAAGCCUUCUCGGGAUGUCAAACCCUGGUAAGGUUCUUCGCUUACCUUCGAAUUAAAGAACACGCUCCACCGCUUGUGCGGGUCCCCGUCAAUUCCUUUAUGUUUUAGUCUUGCGACCGUACUCCACAGGCGGGAUGCUUAACGCGUUAGCUUCGCUACUAACCGGGUCGAUACGGUUAACAACUAGCAUCCAUCGUUUACGGCGUGGACUAC
RNAcentral lists this unclassified non-coding RNA (363 nucleotides) under uncultured bacterium. RNAcentral's name for it is "contains 16S-23S intergenic spacer region". The record is from RNAcentral.